RNAcentral lists this transfer RNA (69 nucleotides) under Rattus norvegicus (Norway rat). It matches the Rfam family "tRNA". Rfam says of the family: Transfer RNA (tRNA) molecules are approximately 80 nucleotides in length. The record is from Rfam by way of RNAcentral. Lineage: Eukaryota; Metazoa; Chordata; Mammalia; Rodentia; Muridae.
GGGGAUUUAGCUCAGCGGUAGAGCGCUUGCCUGGGGAGCGCAAGGCCCUGGGUUCGGUCCCCAGCUCCG